Magnolia sinica is the source of this 2343-nucleotide long non-coding RNA. RefSeq lists it as uncharacterized. Lineage: Eukaryota; Viridiplantae; Streptophyta; Magnoliopsida; Magnoliales; Magnoliaceae. The transcript is spliced from 5 exons. The record is from RefSeq and is a predicted model, not a curated record.
UCCUUUUGAAAUAGUUGGGGGUAAGGUAGUUUAAAUUAUCCACUUUAGAAUCUGUAAGGAUGAAUAAAUCGCUUUGCUGGUCAUGCUUCUCCUCCAUACUCUUGACAUAUGCAGUUAACAAACUAGUUUAGGCAGAUGAUCCUAAUUGUUUCUUUUCCAUAAAAUCUCUCAAGCAGAUCACAACGUUGGCGGCAGUAUUGAUCCUGAAAGUACAGUAUGAGGUACUCUGAAUCUCCUAACAUUGUGGUUCUUUCUUGGCUGGCAGCAGUAGAUAAAAUCCUAACUUUUGACCAUCCAAGAAAUGGAAGAAACCAUUUGAUCUGCACGUAUUUUCACGUGUAGAAUGGUGAAGAGAAUCAAUCUUCCUUUGCAAUGUAAGCAAUAUAGAAGAGUUGGGAGUACUUCACUAACCUUUACAGCCGUAAGCAGGACACGCUGAAAAAAGUUCUUCAUGGUUUUAAUCUGUUGUGAACAGGCAUGUUUGGAACAAGGGGGAAAUGCUGAUGGAAAAUGAAAAGGAAUGACAUGGGGAGUUACUGAAGUCGGUAUUGGGAUGCAGUAAAGAAUGAUAUGGGGGAAAUGUGACUGGUAGGGAUAAAAGAAUCCAUGGAAGCUGAAACUAGAACCUUUUUGACAUAUUUUCAUUUAGCAAAGAAUUUUCAAGCAAGUUAAAUAAUAGAAGGAGAGUCUUGGUGGACAUUAUAACAUGGGCUAAUAAAAUGUAGAAGGAACUGUGGUGGGUAGCUUUCGUAUUCAAUGACAUCUGCAACCUCAUCAUUCACGAUGCCAGUUUUGUGCUUAUCCAGAGAGAAGGAGGAGAUGGACAGAAAUCGCAAGGCGUCUUCAGGUUCGAAGUCAGAUUGGUCUGGGAGGCGGAUGAAAGAAGUUGCCUGCCCCAUUUGCACAGUCCAUUUGCAGUUCAAGUCCCAACAUAUGGCUCCGAAACGAUAGAGUGUGGUGUAUGUCAGCAUCCCUUCCUUGUUAGUGCCCACUGAAUUACUGCUAGAAGAUCUAAAUAUUGUAGCCCACCUGAUGUAAAGCUUAGAUCUUAGGUCUUGAAAACAGGCUAUUUCAAUUCUUAGGUGGGCCACAAGGUACAAAUUAAACUGAAGGGUACAUCAAAUUUCCUGUGGCUGUCUUUUUUUUUUUUUUUGUAUUGGUGCCCACCGGAUGUAAAUCACCUUAUUUUCAGGCUAGAUCUAAAUACUGAUGCAAAGUUUCUCGCGCACGUGUCUGCUUGUGGAUGUAUACAUAACCCACGGGAGUAGCAUUAUUCACUCUGUUCACCGGUGCAUGGACAGCUACUUGGGGUCCACCAGGUAUGAGUUUAUUCACGCUGUCCACCUACAUGUGGACAGGGCCAUGGGCCAACUAGAUGUAUAUAUUUUAUCCUCCCUGUCCAACUGGUGGAUUGAGCAGUGGGCCCUCCUGGUGUAUGUGUUGUCCAACAGCAUAGCCCCCCACACUGGGGGGCUCACCUGAUGCAUGGUUCUACCCACACUGCCAUUCCGUGGACGCAUCCAUGAUGCGUAUAUGUUAUCCACGCUGCCACCCGGAGGCUAGGGCCCCACUGUGAUGUAUGUGUCUUAUAAGCACCAUUCUUUUUUCUUUUUUCUUUUUUACAGAUCAUUCCUUGGCAUGGGCCUAGAAAUCAGGUAGAUGGAAGGCUUAGGUGGGCCGCACCACUAUAAACAGUGGUGACAGCCACCACCGUUGAAACCCACCAUGAGCUCACCGAUAAUUCAUCUGUUUCGUAACCACGACAUCCAUUCAGGGCCUGAGCCCAAAAACGAGCAGGUCCAAAUUUCAAGUGGACUGCACCGCAGAAAACAGUGGGGAUGAACUCCCACCGUUGAAACUGCUGUGGGGUCACUAUAGUGGUUUUAGUGACCAUCAAAACUGUCCAUGAGGACACCUGGACGGGACGUGGGGCAGGGCCCAGAGGCGUGGCAAAUCCAAACCUUGAGCGGACCCCACUGCAGACUGCCUUCCACCGUUAAAAUGUCUGUGGGGUCCACCAUGGUGGUUAUUUUUUACACCAAUCUGUUUACAAGGUCACAUAAGACCUGGAUGUAGUGAAAACACAAAUAUCACCGGCUCAAGUGGACCCCAUCAGCAGGAGGCAGCGGUUAUUGAACUCUUACCAUUGCAGCCUCCCUAUGGGGCCCAUUGUGACGUGAUCUGCCAUCUAACCUGUGGUGAGGCCACGUGGGCCUGACCCCAAAGAUGAGUCAGAUCUGAAACUCAAGUGGAACCCACACAGCAAACAGCGGUGGUUGAAUACCCAUCAUUAAAACUGUCCCUGGGGACCGCCUUAAUGUUUUUUCCUGCCAUCUAACCUGU